GCAGACACAUUCCAGCCAAUCAGCAACAGACCCUCCCUCCCAGACCCUCCCACCUCCUGGACAGCUCACUAAGAAUGCAGCUUCACAAUGAAUGUAAAAUGGAUGCUGUCCAGGAGGUGGGAGGGUCUGGGAGGGAGGGUCUGCUGCUGAUUGGCUGGAAUGUGUCUG
Non-coding RNA from Pelobates cultripes (western spadefoot toad), 168 nucleotides. The record is from the annotation of a GenBank genome assembly. Lineage: Eukaryota; Metazoa; Chordata; Amphibia; Anura; Pelobatidae.